This 275-nucleotide ribosomal RNA is filed under the name uncultured bacterium. Its description in RNAcentral is "partial 16S ribosomal RNA". It matches the Rfam family "Bacterial small subunit ribosomal RNA", at positions 399 to 691 of the family's 1533-position model. The record is from RNAcentral.
GCGUGGGUGAAGAAGGUCUUCGGAUUGUAAAGCCCUUUCGACGGGGACGAUGAUGACGGUACCCGUAGAAGAAGCCCCGGCUAACUUCGUGCCAGCAGCCGCGGUAAUACGAAGGGGGCUAGCGUUGCUCGGAUUGACUGGGCGUAAAGGGCGCGUAGGCGGAUAGUACAGUCAGGCGUGAAAUUCCUGGGCUCAACCUGGGGGCUGCGUUUGAUACGUAUUGUCUGGAGUUCGGAAGAGGGUCGUGGAAUUCCCAGUGUAGAGGUGAAAUUCGU